Molecule: non-coding RNA, 1022 nt
Filed under: Trachelus iudaicus
Lineage: Eukaryota; Metazoa; Arthropoda; Insecta; Hymenoptera; Cephidae
Source: RNAcentral
UAUGAGGUAGGCGGGUUAUUAUUUAACUUUAUAUUUUAUUUUUAUAGUAUUUUCAUUUUAUUAGAUCCGUUAAAAAUUCUACUAAAUUAAAUUUUAGUUAGUACGUUGGGUUAUUUUUUUUAUGUUAUUGUGUUAUUUUUUUUUUUAUAAAGUUUAAUUCUGACUUUGAGAUUUAUUAUAAAUUUUAUUUAGUAUAUAAAUUUUUGUGUUAUUCAUUUAUUUUUAAAUAAAAUAAUUGAUUUUUUAAUUUAGUAUAUAAAAUUAUAUUUAAAUAAAAAUAGUUUUUUUUAUAGAAUUAUAUUUAUUUAAGAUGGAACAAGCUUGUGCCAGCAUUCGCGGUUAGACAGGCUAAUCUAAGUAAAUUUUUUAAACUUUAAAGAUAUUAAUAGUUAUUUGUUUUAUUUAGUAAAUUUAAUUAAAUUAAGGUGAAAUUUUAUUAAUUUUUAUAUUAAAUAUUAUAUUAUUAUUUAAUAAUAUUUUUUGAAAGUUUAUUUGUAGACUAGGAUUAGAUACCCUAUUAUUUAAAUUGUAAAUUUUAUUGUUGUUUAUUAUUUAUUUUUAUUUUAUUUUAUUUUAUUAAUUAGGUUGGUUAGGUAGUAUUAGUUAUGGUCUUGAAACUUUAAGAAUUUGACGGUAAUUCAUUCAUUUUAGAGGAACUUGUUUUUUAAUUGAUGGUCCACGAUAUUAUCUACCUAAUUUAUUUGUUUGUAUACCGUCGUUUUAAAAGAAUUUUUUAAGGAUAUUAAUUUUUAAAAUAUAAUUAUUUAAUGAAAUUGUUAUAGAAAUUCAGAUCAAGGUGCAGCUUUUUAUUUAGGUUAAAAUGAGUUACAAUAAAUUUAAUUUAUACGGAUUUUAAAUAUUAAAAAUUUAAAUAAAGGCGGAUUUAAAAGUAAAUUUAAAUAAUUAUUUAAUUUGAUAGUUGUUUUGAAUUAUGUACAUAUCGCCCGUCGCUCUCGUCAUAAGAUGAGAUAAGUCGUAACAAAGUAAAAGUACUGGAAAGUGUUUUUAGAAUAAUGAUUUAC